UGUGGGAGCGAGCUUGCUCGCGAUAGCGCCAGGUCAGUCGACAUCAAUAUUGACUGAUACACCGCCAUCGCGAGCAAGCUCGCUCCCACA
This 90-nucleotide unclassified non-coding RNA is filed under the name Pseudomonas kilonensis. The record is from RNAcentral. Lineage: Bacteria; Pseudomonadati; Pseudomonadota; Gammaproteobacteria; Pseudomonadales; Pseudomonadaceae.